RNAcentral lists this transfer RNA (57 nucleotides) under Loxodonta africana (African savanna elephant). The record is from Rfam by way of RNAcentral. Lineage: Eukaryota; Metazoa; Chordata; Mammalia; Proboscidea; Elephantidae.
UGGCAUAAUGGUUAAGUGUUUGGCUGUUAACCAAAAGAUCGGCAGUUCAAACCUACC